This 66-nucleotide transfer RNA is filed under the name marine eukaryotic metagenome. It matches the Rfam family "tRNA", at positions 5 to 66 of the family's 71-position model. Rfam says of the family: Transfer RNA (tRNA) molecules are approximately 80 nucleotides in length. Their secondary structure includes four short double-helical elements and three loops (D, anti-codon, and T loops). The record is from RNAcentral.
GAGUGUAGCUCAAUUGGUAGAGCAUCUGCUUGCCAUGCAGAAGGUCGUGGGUUCGAGGCCCAUCAC